GAGUUUAGGUUAGCCUAGACCAAGAGCCUUCAAAGCUCUAAGCAAAUAGCGUAUAUUUAACUCCUG
RNAcentral lists this transfer RNA (66 nucleotides) under Mystacina tuberculata (New Zealand lesser short-tailed bat). RNAcentral describes it as "tRNA-Trp". The record is from RNAcentral. Lineage: Eukaryota; Metazoa; Chordata; Mammalia; Chiroptera; Mystacinidae.